Molecule: ribosomal RNA, 465 nt
Filed under: Vreelandella stevensii
Lineage: Bacteria; Pseudomonadati; Pseudomonadota; Gammaproteobacteria; Oceanospirillales; Halomonadaceae
Description: partial 16S ribosomal RNA
Rfam family: Bacterial small subunit ribosomal RNA
Source: RNAcentral
CCUACGGGUGGCUGCAGUGGGGAAUAUUGGACAAUGGGGGGAACCCUGAUCCAGCCAUGCCGCGUGUGUGAAGAAGGCCCUCGGGUUGUAAAGCACUUUCAGUGAGGAAGAACGCCUGGUGGUUAAUACCCAUCAGGAAAGACAUCACUCACAGAAGAAGCACCGGCUAACUCCGUGCCAGCAGCCGCGGUAAUACGGAGGGUGCGAGCGUUAAUCGGAAUUACUGGGCGUAAAGCGCGCGUAGGUGGCUUGAUAAGCCGGUUGUGAAAGCCCCGGGCUCAACCUGGGAACGGCAUCCGGAACUGUCAAGCUAGAGUGCAGGAGAGGAAGGUAGAAUUCCCGGUGUAGCGAUGAAAUGCGUAGAGAUCGGGAGGAAUACCAGUGGCGAAGGCGGCCUUCUGGACUGACACUGACACUGAGGUGCGAAAGCGUGGGUAGCAAACAGGAUUAGAUACCCCGGUAGUC